UUGAAAACAGGAAAAUUAUGGUCGAGAAGCAAUAAAGAGCUCAGUUAUCUGCCGCCUUUCACUUUGUCUUGUUGCCUACACAGAUGCAGAAUGCCAAAUUUCUGCUGUUUCUCUGGCAGUGCCUUGCGUGGGCGCUCCCAGAGCUUCCUUUUCCUUAGGAGACCGCGGGACGGAGGAGAAUGCAAUCCAUGGCCACUUCUGGGGUGUGCAGUGCACAGAGGAUGCCAUGCAGCAAACACAGAGGUCUAAUCACUCAGUGGUGAUUACCAAGUCCUGGGCUCAUCUGUUGAGGGGAGUCAUUACAAACAGUACUCUGGAGAUCUCUCUAACAAAAUAUUAGUGAAAGAAGGGCCUGUCACAUGGAGCAACAUCCCCAUUUCUAUUAGUGGUGAUGAGAAGUAAUUAGUUCUACAGGGUGACACCGUUUUUGUGUGAUUUUCUUGCAAGCCUAAGAAAAUGGUGAAAUAUAUUUUCCUCUCUGGGCUCAGAACAGGGCCUAGAAAUCAGGUAAACUCUCAGAUUUCAAAAGCAUUCACCUUUUCUUAAACUCCAGGUACUACAUCAGUUUUAAUAAGGUGCAAACAGGCCUAAAAUUAAAGUAAUAUGAGUGUGAUUGUUGGCUUUUGUUUUAAAUCUCUGUGGAAUCCCUCAGAUGUAGAAAGAUUCUCUUGUAGUAAAGGACAUGUCAGACAUCAUGUUGGAAGUGGUACUGACUGGAGCCCAAGUACAAAAUAAGGUGAACCUCUCUAAUGAGCUCUGUUUUGAAGCUGAAGGAAAAAACAAAAAAGA
Molecule: long non-coding RNA, 789 nt
Organism: Zonotrichia albicollis (white-throated sparrow)
Lineage: Eukaryota; Metazoa; Chordata; Aves; Passeriformes; Passerellidae
Source: RefSeq, a predicted model, not a curated record